AUUGAACGCUGGCGGUAUGCUUAACACAUGCAAGUCGAACGGCAGCAUGGUCUAGCUUGCUAGACUGAUGGCGAGUGGCGGACGGGUGAGUAACGCGUAGGAAUAUGCCUUGAAGAGUGGGACAACUUGGGGAAACUCAAGCUAAUACCGCAUGUACUCGAGAGAGUAAAGCUGGGGACCUUUAGGCCUGGCGCUUUAAGAUUAGACUGCGUCCGAGUAGCUAGUUGGUAGGGUAAAGGCCUACCAAGGCGACGAUCGGUAGCUGGUCUGAGAGGGGGAUCAGCCACACUGGAACUGAGAGGCGGUCCAGACUCCUACGGGAGGCAGCAGUGGGGAAUAUUGGACAAUGGGGGGAACCCUGAUCCAGCAAUGCCGCGUGUGUGAAGAAGGCCUGAGGGUUGUAAAGCACUUUCAGUGGGGAGGAGGUUUGGAAGGUUAAGAGCUAUUCAAAUGGACGUUACCCACAGAAGAAGCACCGGCUAACCCCGUGCCAGCAGCCGCCGUAA
RNAcentral lists this ribosomal RNA (506 nucleotides) under uncultured bacterium. RNAcentral's name for it is "partial 16S ribosomal RNA". It matches the Rfam family "Bacterial small subunit ribosomal RNA", at positions 30 to 523 of the family's 1533-position model. The record is from RNAcentral.